This 702-nucleotide ribosomal RNA is filed under the name Brosimum guianense (Guiana brosimum). RNAcentral describes it as "eukaryotic LSU rRNA". The stretch from base 272 to 427 matches the Rfam family "5.8S ribosomal RNA". Lineage: Eukaryota; Viridiplantae; Streptophyta; Magnoliopsida; Rosales; Moraceae. The record is from RNAcentral.
UUCGUAGGUGAACCUGCGGAAGGAUCAUUGUCGAAACCUGCCCAGCAGAAAGACCCGCGAACACGUUAGAAAUACUCAGGGGGCGAGGGGUGUCAACGAGCCUCAAACCCCCUGUGCCUAGGGCUUCGGCCAUGGUCGRUGGCCUAGGCUUAAAAACAAACCCCGGCGCGGAAUGCGUCAAGGAAAAAUGAUGGAACGACCCAUGCCGCCAUAGCCCCAGAAAAUGGUGCGUUUCUAUGGUGGUUGAUUCGUGACUGUUUUAACUCAAAACGACUCUCGGCAACGGAUAUCUCGGCUCUCGCAUCGAUGAAGAACGUAGCGAAAUGCGAUACUUGGUGUGAAUUGCAGAAUCCCGUGAACCAUCGAGUCUUUGAACGCAAGUUGCGCCCGAAGCCAUUUGGCCGAGGGCACGUCUGCCUGGGCGUCACACAUCGUUGCCCCCCUAGACAUCCCCAUGACACUCCCCGUUAGGUGUGUGUGGAUUGAUAAGGGGCAGAGGAUGGCCUCCCGUGCGCACUUUGUCUCGCGGUUGGUCCAAAAUUGAGUCCUCGGCCACAUCGUCGUGGCAAUAGGUGGUUGUCGAUCAUUCGGUGCCCCGUCACGUGUGUUGGCCUCGCRUCGGGACUCUUGUAGACCCCAAUGCAUCUCUUAUGGAUGCUUCCAAUGCGACCCCAGGUCAGGCGGGGCUACCCGCUGAGUUUA